RNAcentral lists this transfer RNA (65 nucleotides) under marine eukaryotic metagenome. It matches the Rfam family "tRNA", at positions 5 to 66 of the family's 71-position model. Rfam says of the family: Transfer RNA (tRNA) molecules are approximately 80 nucleotides in length. Their secondary structure includes four short double-helical elements and three loops (D, anti-codon, and T loops). Further hydrogen bonds mediate the characteristic L-shaped molecular structure. tRNAs have two regions of fundamental functional importance: the anti-codon, which is responsible for specific mRNA codon recognition, and the 3' end, to which the tRNAs corresponding amino acid is attached (by aminoacyl-tRNA synthetases). tRNAs cope with the degeneracy of the genetic code in two manners: having more than one tRNA (with a specific anti-codon) for a particular amino acid; and 'wobble' base-pairing, i.e. permitting non-standard base-pairing at the 3rd anti-codon position. The record is from RNAcentral.
GGGUAGCUCAGUUGGUAGAGCAAAGGACUGAAAAUCCUUGUGUCGGUGGUUCGAGUCCGCCUCCG